GGUGGCGUUGGAGCCGGCGCGUCGCUGCUGGGUCCCCCGCUCAUCCAACGUUGCUUGCUCGCUCUUUCCCAGGUCGCUGAGGCUGGGUGAACUCAUGAACUUCGGUCUGCGGAAAUUCCUCAUGAUGUUUCGUCACCCUGCUGGGUAACAUCGCCACAACACACAGCAACCCGGAAUUACACAAAGCAAAACAGGAGCACUUACAUGGAGUUUUUAAAAGGAAUGGAUACCCAAAAAGCACAAUCCACUGUUACCUCCAUGACAGACCACAAGAAGAAGACACAACAUGGCCAGGCACACUAGUCACCCUACCAUAUAUUAGGGACAUAUCAGAGAUGACCACUAGACUACCCAGGCCCCCGAGGUAUCAGGGUAGCUCACAAACCAACAACCACCCUGUGACAGCUACUGACGAAUGGAAAGGACCCCAUACUCACAACUAGUAAAACUAAUGUAAUAUACAAAAUACUAUUCAAGGACUGUGAGAAACUUUACAUAGGCCAAACUGGAAGAUAACUGACAGUAAGGACACAUGGGCACCAACUAGCCACCAAGAGACAUGACCAAUUCUCAAUUGCCUCACUACACAUGGACAAAGAAGGGCACGAAUUUAACUGGGACAACACAUCCAUAAUAGCACAAGCCAAACAGAGACACCCGAGAGAAUUCUUGGAGGCCUGGCAUUCCACCCGGAAUUCUGUCAACAAAUACAUUGAACUGGACCUAAAUUAAAACCACUGAAGAACAAAACUGGAAGUAAUACCGAGCACCCCAGCAAACCAAGGCAUGUAAAAAACAAGCAGGACAGAACGCCAACGCUUCACCAGAGGCACACUGACUAGGUUGAUGAAACGUCUGCAAUCAAUCACACUGGCUCGGCAAGCAAGUCUGCAACCUCAUCCACAACCUGAGCCACAAAUCUUCUCAAAAACUCUAAACAGGAUCCAAACAAACAGAAAUUAGAUGAAUAAUCAAUUAAUCUCCUUUUGAUAAUGGUUUUCGGAGGCAUGUUCAUCAAGAUGCUACAUUCUGUAGAUACUGCAGGAAAUUUUAAUUUCUGGAAAGGAAGACACACUUCUGGUUCACAUCAUUUCCAAACCUUUGGCAAUGGAGCACCGGACAUAAAUAAAGAAACAAUAAUUGAGCUUUCAUUACAUCCUAAACUAUCAAUUUAAAUACACAAUAUGGUAUACUGUGGUCUGAGGUUAAGCAAGAUGCCUUUAUAACUGUAAUUGCUUGCCUGAAAUGUCAUGAUCCUCUCACAUUGUAAGGAAAAAUGCUGAUUUCAUGAUAUGUGAUAUUAAAGGUAUAACCUAUAA
Stegostoma tigrinum is the source of this 1319-nucleotide long non-coding RNA. RefSeq lists it as uncharacterized. The record is from RefSeq and is a predicted model, not a curated record. The transcript is spliced from 2 exons. Lineage: Eukaryota; Metazoa; Chordata; Chondrichthyes; Orectolobiformes; Stegostomatidae.